GACGAACGCUGGCGGCGUGCUUAACACAUGCAAGUCGAACGAAGAGCGAUGGAAGCUUGCUUCUAUCAAUCUUAGUGGCGCACGGGUGAGUAACGCGUAAUCAACCUGCCCUUCAGAGGGGGACAACAGUUGGAAACGACUGCUAAUACCGCAUACGAUCUAAACUCGGCAUCGAGGAUAGAUGAAAGGUGGCCUCUACAUGUAAGCUAUCACUGAAGGAGGGGAUUGCGCCUGAUUAGCUAGUUGGAGGGGUAACGGCCCACCAAGGCGAUGAUCAGUAGCCGGUCUGAGAGGAUGAACGGCCACAUUGGGACUGAGACACGGCCCAGACUCCUACGGGAGGCAGCAGUGGGGAAUCUUCCGCAAUGGACGAAAGUCUGACGGAGCAACGCCGCGUGAGUGAUGACGGCCUUCGGGUUGUAAAGCUCUGUUAAUCGGGACGAAAGGCCUUCUUGCGAAUAGUGAGAAGGAUUGACGGUACCGGAAUAGAAAGCCACGGCUAACUACGUG
This 510-nucleotide ribosomal RNA is filed under the name uncultured bacterium. RNAcentral's name for it is "partial 16S ribosomal RNA". It matches the Rfam family "Bacterial small subunit ribosomal RNA", at positions 28 to 507 of the family's 1533-position model. The record is from RNAcentral.